RNAcentral lists this ribosomal RNA (253 nucleotides) under uncultured bacterium. RNAcentral's name for it is "partial 16S ribosomal RNA". It matches the Rfam family "Bacterial small subunit ribosomal RNA", at positions 524 to 776 of the family's 1533-position model. The record is from RNAcentral.
UACGGAGGGUGCGAACGUUAAUCGGAAUCACUGGGCGUAAAGCGCGCGUAGGCGGUCCGUUAAGUGGGAUGUGAAAUCCCCGGGCUUAACCUGGGAAUUGCAUUUCAAACUGGCGGACUAGAGUGCGGUAGAGGGAGGUAGAAUUUCCUGUGUAGCGGUGAAAUGCGUAGAUAUAGGAAGGAAUACCAGUGGCGAAGGCGGCCUCCUGGAUCGACACUGACGCUGAGGCGCGAAAGCGUGGGGAGCAAACAGG